Hermetia illucens (black soldier fly) is the source of this 301-nucleotide long non-coding RNA. RefSeq lists it as uncharacterized. NCBI's taxonomy places the organism in Eukaryota, Metazoa, Arthropoda, Insecta, Diptera, Stratiomyidae. The record is from RefSeq and is a predicted model, not a curated record. The transcript has 2 exons.
CAUGGGCUUGGCUGAUAUAGUGUUAAUAUUUCAACGCUAUGCCGGCUUUUGUAAAAGUAGAACGAAAUCUAUCAAAAUGCCGGCUAGUGGGCAUAAGUGAUUGUGGAAAGAGUGCGGGGCAAAGAGCUCAGAAAGAAGCUAGUUUUUCUGUUGGAAACCAUAAGUGCUGAGUGCAUUUGCAGAGUGACUAGAUCAUCCAGUUCUUUGGCACUUACCUGCGGAUCGAUAAAGCAAAAAUAAUCAUUCUAAGAAUGCCAUAAAAGUUUAUCUUCAUGCGAAAUACACAUACCUAUGGUGGUCA